This is a long non-coding RNA of Mastomys coucha (southern multimammate mouse), 669 nucleotides long. RefSeq lists it as uncharacterized. The record is from RefSeq and is a predicted model, not a curated record. NCBI's taxonomy places the organism in Eukaryota, Metazoa, Chordata, Mammalia, Rodentia, Muridae. The transcript is spliced from 2 exons.
CGCCCGCCCGACCUGGGCGCACGCGCACUUGCCCCUCUCCCACAGAGGUGCCUCGGUAACAGAUGGAGCAAUCAUUCUCGUCUUUCCGCCAGAAGGCCCUCGCUGCUCCCGGGACCGCUCGGUGGUUGUAAGACACAUAAUUAGAUACGUCAGCGGACAAUGCGGCGGAUUAGCCGAGGAGGGCUGGCGACUCGAGCCUUCCGGAGCCUUCCCCACCAAUCCGCGCGGGGCGGUCACCAGCAAGGAUCCCCGCUCCUGGAGGCAGGAUGAUUGACAAACUGAGCCAUUUCCAGCGACCGGUCCCCUGCGGAGGGUCUGCGCUCAGUGCAGGACCGACGCCUUGAGACAGGAGUUGUGUCAACGGUGGAUGGCUGUGCCCUAGUCACUUGAGAGACAUGAAUCAAUUUCCCAGCUGUAUUUAUCACUCACUGCUUUAAAUCAAGUCUAAUCAAUGCUUCCUUCACUUGGCUAUGGGCUGAAAAACUACAGAGCAUGCUCAGAAGACAGGUGGGACCCAUUUGGAUUGCAAGCAUCCUCUUGGGAGUUUGUUAAAUCCUAACCAAACACUUAGAGAUGUCUUUGUGAAACUCAACUUGAAUUUACCUGUAACAGACAUAAGUCCUGUUAUUUAGGGAGAGUUCUACCCCAUAAAAUCUUCUGCAAUUAACA